Molecule: ribosomal RNA, 436 nt
Filed under: uncultured Coprococcus sp.
Lineage: Bacteria; Bacillati; Bacillota; Clostridia; Lachnospirales; Lachnospiraceae
Description: bacterial SSU rRNA
Rfam family: Bacterial small subunit ribosomal RNA
Source: RNAcentral
UAACGCGAAGAACCUUACCUGCUCUUGACAUCCCGGUGACCGGCAUGUAAUGAUGCCUUUUCUUCGGAACACCGGUGACAGGUGGUGCAUGGUUGUCGUCAGCUCGUGUCGUGAGAUGUUGGGUUAAGUCCCGCAACGAGCGCAACCCUUAUCUUCAGUAGCCAGCAUUUUGGAUGGGCACUCUGGAGAGACUGCCAGGGAUAACCUGGAGGAAGGUGGGGAUGACGUCAAAUCAUCAUGCCCCUUAUGAGCAGGGCUACACACGUGCUACAAUGGCGUAAACAAAGGGAAGCAAGCCUGCGAGGGUAAGCAAAUCUCAAAAAUAACGUCUCAGUUCGGAUUGUAGUCUGCAACUCGACUACAUGAAGCUGGAAUCGCUAGUAAUCGCGAAUCAGCAUGUCGCGGUGAAUACGUUCCCGGGUCUUGUACACACCGA